RNAcentral lists this ribosomal RNA (440 nucleotides) under uncultured bacterium. RNAcentral describes it as "partial 16S ribosomal RNA". It matches the Rfam family "Bacterial small subunit ribosomal RNA", at positions 338 to 795 of the family's 1533-position model. The record is from RNAcentral.
CCUACGGGAGGCAGCAGUGGGGAAUAUUGCACAAUGGGGGCAACCCUGAUGCAGCGACGCCGCGUGAGUGAUGAAGUCAUUCCUUAUGUAAAGCUCUAUUUGUAGGGAAGAAAAUUACGGUACCUGAGCAAUUAUCCCCGGCUAACUACGUUCCAGCAGCCGCGGUACUACGGAGGGGGCAAGCGUUAUCCGGAUUUACUGGGUGUAAAGGGAGCGUAGACGGGUGUGCAAGUCUGGUGUGAAAGGCGGGGGCUCAACCGCAAGAUUGGUAUGGAAACUGUAAGGCUGGAGUUCAGGCGAGGUAAGUGGAAUUCGUGGUGUAGCGGUGAAAUGCGUAGAUAUCACGAGGAACACCAGUGGCGAAGGCGGCUUACUAAACUGUAACUGACAUUGAGGCUCGAAAGCGUGGGGAGCAAACAGGAUUAGAUACCCCUGUAGUC